Doryrhamphus excisus (bluestripe pipefish) is the source of this 560-nucleotide non-coding RNA. The record is from RefSeq and is a predicted model, not a curated record. NCBI's taxonomy places the organism in Eukaryota, Metazoa, Chordata, Actinopteri, Syngnathiformes, Syngnathidae.
UGGGUAAGACCUCCUCGUAUCUCACAUGCUUUACACCACAUUUUACUUGAAUGUGACAGCCUUGUGAAUCUCUAUCUUGUCGUUCUGUUUUGUUCUUUCCUUCCAGGGUGCAAGCACGCCGCAUACGGGGACGGGACAUCAGGGCUCCCGGGGGCUCGCUGUUCCUUUUUCCUAUGCAUAUACCUCUUUGAUGAGCUGUUUUAAAGAGGCAUAGGGCAUGGGAAAAUGGGGCUGCAGAGAAAUCCUUUAAAAGAGGCAUACUGCGUGGGAAAAUGGGGCUGCCGAGGUUUUCCACCUGACCGCCGAAAAAACAACAUGAUAUUAUGUCUGCUUGCAGGAUGUUUGCUUUUUUUUUUUAAUAAAGAUCCCAUGGUCAAGAAAUGUGCAACUUUUUUUUAACAUGAUUAACAUGUGAAAAAUCACUACUUCAUUAAUUAGUGGUGGUACAAAUAAUAAGUAGUACUCAAUGAAUGGUACAGUAUUGUUGUUUUAACCCUGUAAAAUGUCUAUAAUACUUUAUUAAAUAUAUUAUUUUUGAUUUUUUUUAUGAAGUCACAGCA